CCUACGGGAGGCAGCAGUGGGGAAUUUUGGACAAUGGGCGCAAGCCUGAUCCAGCAAUGCCGCGUGAGUGAAGAAGGCCUUCGGGUUGUAAAGCUCUUUUGUCAGGGAAGAAACGGCCGAGGCUAAUACCUUUGGCUAAUGACGGUACCUGAAGAAUAAGCACCGGCUAACUACGUGCCAGCAGCCGCGGUAAUACGUAGGGUGCAAGCGUUAAUCGGAAUUACUGGGCGUAAAGCGUGCGCAGGCGGUUUUGUAAGUCUGACGUGAAAUCCCCGGGCUCAACCUGGGAAUUGCGUUGGAGACUGCAGGGCUGGAGUCUGGCAGAGGGGGGUAGAAUUCCACGUGUAGCAGUGAAAUGCGUAGAGAUGUGGAGGAACACCGAUGGCGAAGGCAGCCCCCUGGGUCAAGACUGACGCUCAUGCACGAAAGCGUGGGGAGCAAACAGGAUUAGAUACCCUGGUAGUCCACGCCCUAAACCGAUGUCUACUAGUUGUCGGGUUCUUAAUUGACUUGGUAACGCAGCUAACGCGUGAAGUAGACCGCCUGGGGAGUACGGUCGCAAGAUUAAAACUCAAAGGAAUUGACCGGU
Molecule: ribosomal RNA, 589 nt
Filed under: uncultured bacterium
Lineage: Bacteria
Description: bacterial SSU rRNA
Rfam family: Bacterial small subunit ribosomal RNA
Source: RNAcentral